This 1020-nucleotide unclassified non-coding RNA is filed under the name Hevea brasiliensis (rubber tree). Lineage: Eukaryota; Viridiplantae; Streptophyta; Magnoliopsida; Malpighiales; Euphorbiaceae. The record is from RNAcentral.
GUUUUUAAUUAGUGCAGAAAAUGAACAUUUUAUAUUUCAUUUUCAUGAAAAUUUCUUGUUUCAUGAAAAUUUCUUCUCUUAGCGUUCAUUUUCAUUAUUCCAAGGAGUUUCAAAAAAUUCAAGCAUCUUCAGGAUAUGUAGAGGCAGGAAAGUUUUGGAUGAGAACCCUAGCUGCUUGUUCCAUUGAUGAGAAGGCAUCGGAGAAACCAUCAAACCAGGAAAGCAAGCGUCAACCCAGUUCUUGCUGUACUGGCUAUUUGCUUACUUGACAGUUGUCCUGACAAAAAUAUGGGAUAUCAAAAUGGGAAAAGUACAGCCAACAAACUGAAGGUGUCAUUUUGUCAUGGAUAUCAAAACGUAUGCUGAGCCAGGAUGCACAUUGGUUCCCAAUGCUCAAGGCUGCAGCUCUUUAGCUCUAUUCGUUAUGCUUGGAUAAGUUUCCAGUUUCACUGGAGUUGCUUAAGUCAUCGAGUCCUGCCUUAACCAGGUAUCUUAAAAGUGUGUUGAAUCAUAUGCAUCAAUGUUGAUACACAUGCAAUUCAAUCUUUUGCCUCAUUUGCUAACAAAGGCGAAAGCUUUGGAAGAAUAAUACUACUUUUUUAUGGUGAUGCAUACAAUUGACAGGAAGAAGGAAGUGACUUCAAACCAUUCACACACUUCAUUAUCUGAUGCCACAAAAGGCAGGCAAAGCAGCUUCUAAGCAUCAAUCUGUAACAUUGAUAAAGACAAUCAUUGAACUUGGAACUCAAAUGAUAGAAGAUACAUAACUAGGUUCAGGUUUUAAUAGCAAGUUGCACAAGCACAGCAAGCAUAGUACUUACAACAUAUACGAAUUUAAAACCCUUAUUACUGUGGAGAAAAAUCUGGCUGGCCUACUGAUGAAGACUUUGAUGCCUCCAUUACAACAUAAGCUUGAUCCAAACAGCUUUGAGUAUCAUCACAAAUGGUCAUCUUCUCCACUUCGUCUUGGGUAUAAAUAUGGAUCUUGGAUACCACAUUACAGAACUCAUGCCAUGGAUC